This 465-nucleotide ribosomal RNA is filed under the name uncultured bacterium. RNAcentral describes it as "partial 16S ribosomal RNA". It matches the Rfam family "Bacterial small subunit ribosomal RNA", at positions 339 to 795 of the family's 1533-position model. The record is from RNAcentral.
CUACGGGCUGCAGCAGUGAGGAAUUUUGCGCAAUGGGGGAAACCCUGACGCAGCAACGCCGCGUGAGUGAAGAAGGCCUUUGGGUCGUAAAGCUCUGUCAACUGGGAAGAAAUUAACAUCAAUUAAUAGUUGUCGUUAUUGAAGGUACCAGUGGAGGAAGCGCCGGCUAACUCCGUGCCAGCAGCCGCGGUAACACGGGGGGCGCAAGCGUUAUUCGGAAUUAUUGGGCGUAAAGGGCGCGCAGGCGGUUUUGUCGGUCAGGUGUGAAAGCCCGGGGCUCAACCCUGGAAGUGCACUUGAAACAGCAAGACUUGAGUACGGGAGAGGAAAGCGGAAUUCCUGGUGUAGAGGUGAAAUUCGUAGAUAUCAGGAGGAACACCGAUGGCGAAGGCAGCUUUCUGGACCGAUACUGACGCUGAGGCGCGAAGGCGUGGGUAGCGAACGGGAUUAGAUACCCCAGUAGUC